Photinus pyralis (common eastern firefly) is the source of this 504-nucleotide long non-coding RNA. RefSeq lists it as uncharacterized. NCBI's taxonomy places the organism in Eukaryota, Metazoa, Arthropoda, Insecta, Coleoptera, Lampyridae. The transcript has 3 exons. The record is from RefSeq and is a predicted model, not a curated record.
AAACAGUUCUUUCCAAAACUACGCUGUAAAUUCAAGAAUUUGUUGAAGUUAAAAAUCCCCUUCUUGAGGAUCCUCCAGUCCUGUCGAGAGCAGUUUAUGGAAGGAAGAGUAUCCCGAUGUUAUUAUUUCUUAUAAAGCAUUUGCCAAUCAUAAGAAAGGAAUCGUUGAUUGAUUUGAAAACAAGAAUUGCAUUUGCAAAGAAGAAAAAACAGGUCGUCCAUUACUAAGAAACGAUGAAGUGGUCGAAGACAAAGAAUGGAAGCGAGUUCCAGAAAAUCAAUCCGUCAGUUAAGUGCCCAAGCUGGAGUGUCUUCAUGCAACAUGCCAACGAAUUUUGCAUAAAGAUCUACGUAUACAUACACCCGUAUCGGGUUUCUGUUCUACAGCAACUGCAUGCUCUUGAUUAUGAGAAUCGACGUAAUUAUUGUGAUUGAUUUAAUAACAAUUUAAAUAAUAACGACUUAUUUGUAAAUUAAAAAUAAAUUAUUACUCCUUGGAGAGUGA